CCUACGGGAGGCAGCAGUGGGGAAUAUUGCGCAAUGGGCGAAAGCCUGACGCAGCGCCGCCGCGUGAGGGAUGAAGGUCUUCGGAUCGUAAACCUCUGUCAGCAGAGAAGAACGGUCACUGUGCUAAUCAGCAGUGAAUUGACGGUACCUGCCAAGGAAGCACCGGCUAACUCCGUGCCAGCAGCCGCGGUAAUACGGAGGGUGCGAGCGUUAAUCGGAAUUACUGGGCGUAAAGCGCUCGUAGGCGGUAUGUCAAGUCAAGGGGGAAAUCCCCGCGCUCAACGUGGGAACUGCCUUUGAAACUGGCAAACUGGAGUGUGUGAGAGGAUAGUGGAAUGCCAGGUGUAGGAGUGAAAUCCGUAGAGAUCUGGAGGAACAUCAGUGGCGAAGGCGACUAUCUGGCACAUAACUGACGCUGAGGAGCGAAAGCGUGGGUAGCAAACAGGAUUAGAUACCCCUGUAGUC
This 465-nucleotide ribosomal RNA is filed under the name uncultured bacterium. RNAcentral's name for it is "partial 16S ribosomal RNA". It matches the Rfam family "Bacterial small subunit ribosomal RNA", at positions 338 to 795 of the family's 1533-position model. The record is from RNAcentral.